This 446-nucleotide ribosomal RNA is filed under the name uncultured bacterium. RNAcentral's name for it is "partial 16S ribosomal RNA". It matches the Rfam family "Bacterial small subunit ribosomal RNA", at positions 338 to 795 of the family's 1533-position model. The record is from RNAcentral.
CCUACGGGAGACAGCAGUCGAGAAUCAUUCACAAUGGGGGAAACCCUGAUGGUGCGACGCCGCGUGGGGGAAUGAAGGUCUUCGGAUUGUAAACCCCUGUCAUGUGGGAGCAAAUUAAAGAGAUAGUACCACAAGAGGAAGAGACGGCUAACUCUGUGCCAGCAGCCGCGGUAAUACAGAGAUCUCAGGCGUUGUUCGGAAUCACUGGGCGUAAAGCGUGCGUAGGCUGUUUCGUAAGUCGUGUGUGAAAGGCGGGGGCUCAACCCGCGGACGGCACAUGAUACUGGGAGACUAGAGUAAUGGAGGGGGAACCGGAAUUCUCGGUGUAGCAGUGAAAUGCGUAGAUAUCGAGAGGAACACUCGUGGCGAAGGCGGGUGCCUGGACAUUAACUGACGCUGAGGCACGAAGGCCAGGGGAGCGAAAGGGAUUAGAUACCCCAGUAGUC